Ribosomal RNA from Cavia aperea (Brazilian guinea pig), 151 nucleotides. It matches the Rfam family "5.8S ribosomal RNA". Rfam says of the family: 5.8S ribosomal RNA (5.8S rRNA) is a component of the large subunit of the eukaryotic ribosome. It is transcribed by RNA polymerase I as part of the 45S precursor that also contains 18S and 28S rRNA. The record is from Ensembl. NCBI's taxonomy places the organism in Eukaryota, Metazoa, Chordata, Mammalia, Rodentia, Caviidae.
GACUCUUAGCAUGGUUCACUCGGCUUGUGCAUCAAUGAAGAACGCAGCAAGCUGCAAGAAUUAAUGUGAAGCGCAGGACACAUUGAUCAUAGACACUUCGAAUACCCUUGCAGCCCGAGGUUGCUCCAGGGUUAUGCCUCUCUGAGGUCUC